Belonocnema kinseyi is the source of this 360-nucleotide long non-coding RNA. RefSeq lists it as uncharacterized. The record is from RefSeq and is a predicted model, not a curated record. Lineage: Eukaryota; Metazoa; Arthropoda; Insecta; Hymenoptera; Cynipidae. The transcript has 3 exons.
UUUUGAAAAGAAAACAUCUUUCUCUACUCUCAUACUCGUAUCUUGCAUCUUUUCGUGACAAGGAUUUUUCGUGAAGAAAUAUAAUUUGACUUGGAUCAGCGAAUGUUUGGCAUGUGCAUUCGUCACACAUUGAAGGUGCCUUUUUCCCAAUUUGACAUAAGUAUAAGUACUUCAAGAGGGAGUUUCGUCAAAGAAAAAUAAUUUCAUUUGGAACAGGGAAUUUUUCACAUGGAAUGGAAAUUUUCUUAAAGAGUUAAAACUCUGAUUCAGUAGAAAGGAGUUCAAAAAAACUCUGUUCCAAGUCACCAUUCAUCGAAAUUUAAAAUUUCCUUCUUUCGAAUUCAGAAAAAAGUGCUUCAC